Molecule: ribosomal RNA, 388 nt
Filed under: Chytridiomycetes sp.
Lineage: Eukaryota; Fungi; Chytridiomycota; Chytridiomycetes
Description: partial small subunit ribosomal RNA
Rfam family: Eukaryotic small subunit ribosomal RNA
Source: RNAcentral
AUUCCAGCUCCAAUAGCGUAUAUUAAAGUUGUUGCAGUUAAAAAGCUCGUAGUUGAAUUUUGGACCUGGUUGAAUGGUCCCGCCGCAAGGUGGGUACUGUUUGAUUGGGUCUUUCUUUGCGGGGAAUUAGUGUGCUCUUAAUUGGGUGCAUUAAGGAUCCGUAACUUUUACUUUGAAAAAAUUAGAGUGUUUAAAGCAGGCUUAGGCCUGAAUACAUUAGCAUGGAAUAAUAGAAUAGGACCUGUGUUCUAUUUUGUUGGUUUCUAGGACGUAGGUAAUGAUUAAUAGGGACAGUUGGGGGCAUUAGUAUUUAAGUGUCAGAGGUGAAAUUCUUGGAUUGCUUAAAGACUAACUUCUGCGAAAGCAUUUGCCAAGGAUGUUUUCAUUG